RNAcentral lists this ribosomal RNA (253 nucleotides) under uncultured bacterium. RNAcentral describes it as "partial 16S ribosomal RNA". It matches the Rfam family "Bacterial small subunit ribosomal RNA", at positions 524 to 776 of the family's 1533-position model. The record is from RNAcentral.
UACGUAGGGAGCAAGCGUUGUCCGGAAUCAUUGGGCGUAAAGAGCGCGUAGGCGGUCCGGUAAGUCGGUUGUGAAAACUGGGGGCUCAACCCUCAGACGCCGACCGAUACUGUCGGGCUAGAGUCCGGAAGAGGCGAGUGGAAUUCCUGGUGUAGCGGUGAAAUGCGCAGAUAUCAGGAGGAACACCAAUGGCGAAGGCAGCUCGCUGGGACGGUACUGACGCUGAGGAGCGAAAGCGUGGGGAGCAAACAGG